Molecule: ribosomal RNA, 497 nt
Filed under: uncultured bacterium
Lineage: Bacteria
Description: partial 16S ribosomal RNA
Rfam family: Bacterial small subunit ribosomal RNA
Source: RNAcentral
GAUGAACGCUGGCGGCGUGCCUAAUACAUGCAAGUCGAGCGAACAGACGAGGAGCUUUUUCCUCUACCGUUAGCGGCGGACGGGCGAGUAACACGUGCAUCACCUUCUUCUAUUACUGGGAUAACUACGUGAAGCCGGUGCCACUACUACCUCAUAUGUUCUACGGCUUGAAUCAGUAGUUCAACACGCCUUUGCUGUCACUUUUAGCUGGAGCCGCGUCGGAUUAGCUAGUUGGUAAGGUAACGGCGUACCAAGGCAACGAUGCGUAGCCGACCUGAGAGGGUGAUCGGCCACACUGGAACUGAGACACGGUCCAGACUCCUACGGGAGGCAGCAGUGGGGAAUAUUGGGCAAUGGGCGAAAGCCUGACGCAGCCAUGCCGCGUGAGUGAAGAAGGCCUUCGGGUCGUAAAGCUCUUUUAUUGGGGAAGAAAAAAAGUGGAAGAAACCACGGCCGUUUUGACGGUACCUAAUGAGUAAGCAACGGCUAACUUCGUG